AUUGAACGCUGGCGGCAUGCUUUACACAUGCAAGUCGAACGGCAGCGCGAGCUUCUUGCUGGCUGCUAGUGGCGAACGGGUGAGUAAUACAUCGGAACAUGCCCAGCAUUAGUGUGUAGCACCGCCAGAGCCCGAUUAAUACCGCAUACUACCUGAUGGUGAAAGCUGGUGGGCUUCGGACCUCUCGCUAUUGUAGCGGCCGAUGGCCGAUUAGCUAGUUGGUUGGUUAAAGGCCUACCAAGGCGACGAUCUGUAGCUGGUCUGAGAGGGCGAGCGGCCACAUUGGGACGGAGACACGGCCAAGACGACUACGGGAGGGAGCAGUGGGGAAUUUUGGACAAUGGGCGAAAGCCUGAUCCAGUAAUGCCGAGUGUGUGACGAAGGCCUUCGGGUUGUAAAGACCGUUUGGGGGGAAUGAACAGGAUUGUGCCAAUACCAAGGUUGGAUGACGGUAACGGCAGAAUAAGCACCGGCUAACUACGUG
Molecule: ribosomal RNA, 484 nt
Filed under: uncultured bacterium
Lineage: Bacteria
Description: partial 16S ribosomal RNA
Rfam family: Bacterial small subunit ribosomal RNA
Source: RNAcentral